Molecule: long non-coding RNA, 1053 nt
Organism: Mangifera indica (mango)
Lineage: Eukaryota; Viridiplantae; Streptophyta; Magnoliopsida; Sapindales; Anacardiaceae
Exons: 3
Source: RefSeq, a predicted model, not a curated record
UAUUCUCCACCCAUAAUUCAAUCCAAAAUAAUGACUACUGAUCUUCUUCUUCUUUGCCUCCCUCUCUUUACCAGUUUCUUGCCACGCAAUUGCCAAUCCAACAAAGAUAAUGCCUCUAAAAUCAAAGGGAUGUUCGUGUUCGGAAGCUCUCUAGUUUCCAAUGGAAACAACAAUUUCUUCCCAUCACAUUAAGAAAUAAACUUUCUUCCAUAUGGAAAAGACUUUCCCGAUGGACCUUCUGGUAGAGCCACCAGUUGAAAAAAUGUAAUUGAUUUUUUUGCAGAAAAUUUUAAGCUUUCUCCUUUCAGUCCACCUGCAUUUUAUGACCCUUCCACAAAGGGACCUCAAAUACUCCAUGGUGUCUCCUUUUCUUCUGCAGGCUCUGGCAUACUUGAUAAUACAAGGCCAUUUGAGAAGUUGUACAAUUUAGGAGCAAGAAAAUUUGUGUUGAUCUCAAUGUAUCCAAUGAGUUUUCUGCCUCUACUCAGAGAAUGCUUUCCUAUUUUGAACAUGUAUGUACAACUCUUCAAUGCUCGCAUGAGGCAAGUCGUGGAUUCCUCCAAGACACGAUUUCCUGGUUCUACUUUUGUUUAUGUCAAUUCAUACAAGAUUCUCUAUGAUAUCAUUAAUGACUAUGCCUCCCAAUGUUUUGAAGAUGACAGAAAUGCUUGUUGCGAAACGCAAUUCGUUAAAUGCAAAAAAGAUGGCAAGGUUUGUGAAAACAGGGACAAAUAUGUAUUCUUUGAUGGUCUGCAUCCAACAGAAGCUACAAACAGGAUCAUCGCAACCAAGGCCUUUGAUUCGCUUGAUCAAAGAGAAGCUGAUCCCAUUAAUUGCAACCAACUAGCUCGAUCUUAAUGUGGCUAAUGCAUAAGCAUUACAAUAGACAUAUUAUUUCAUAUGUAUGGAUAUUGUAAUAAAAUGUUCAAAACGUGUUGAGAAUGUUAUUAGAUUUUUUUUAAUUAUUUCAUAUGUAUGGAUAUUGUAAUAAAAUGUUCAAAACAUGUUACAUUUUUGAAAAAAAUUAGUAAGAUGAAAUGGAUGAUUAAAUCA